Molecule: ribosomal RNA, 466 nt
Filed under: uncultured bacterium
Lineage: Bacteria
Description: partial 16S ribosomal RNA
Rfam family: Bacterial small subunit ribosomal RNA
Source: RNAcentral
GACGAACGCUGGCGGCGUGCUUAACACAUGCAAGUCGAACGGAAAGGCCCUGCUUUUGUGGGGUGCUCGAGUGGCGAACGGGUGAGUAACACGUGAGUAACCUGCCCUUGACUUUGGGAUAACUUCAGGGAACUGGGGCUAAUACCGGAUAGGAGCUCCUGCUGCAUGGUGGGGGUUGGAAAGUUUCGGCGGUUGGGGAUGGACUCGCGGCUUAUCAGCUUGUUGGUGGGGUAGUGGCUUACCAAGGCUUUGACGGGUAGCCGGCCUGAGAGGGUGACCGGCCACAUUGGGACUGAGAUACGGCCCAGACUCCUACGGGAGGCGGCAGUGGGGAAUAUUGCACAAUGGGCGGAAGCCUGAUGCAGCAACGCCGCGUGCGGGAUGACGGCCUUCGGGUUGUAAACCGCUUUCGCCUGUGACGAAGCGUGAGUGACGGUAAUGGGUAAAGAAGCACCGGCUAACUACG